Long non-coding RNA from Strigops habroptila (Kakapo), 7207 nucleotides. NCBI's taxonomy places the organism in Eukaryota, Metazoa, Chordata, Aves, Psittaciformes, Psittacidae. The record is from Ensembl.
UUUUAAUUUUCAUUUGGUCAUAUUUUAUUUAACAGAAUGUCAUUCUUCCUCAGUAACCAACAAUGAUUUAUAGUAGUAGUACUCUCCAAAGCAGCCCAUUGAUCACAGAGAAAUGAUGAUAUUUAAAUAUACAAUAUAAAGAGUGACAUAUUUCACAAAGUUGCUUAAUCUUCAGAUUUUAAGUUGGAACACAACAGACCAAAAGUAAGCAUCUGAUUAGGUCCAAGAAUAAAAUUCAAACUGACAACAAGUUGUGAAAAGCUAAUAGUUAUUGAAACUAUACAUAGAGAGAACAUGAUUGAUAGACUUGUCCAGGCUUUACAAAUCUCAGACCCCCUGAGUCCUAACAAUACUAAAUUGAGAAACAAACAAACAAAUUUUAUCCUGAGGAUACAAGCACUGUUUUCAAAUUACUCUCGUAAUUUAAUUUUUUGUUUUCUUUUUUUAUAUGGUGCUAUAGUUUUUUUCCAUAAGGCUCCAAAAUAGAUCGUUGUAUGCAAAAGAACCUGUAUUUAGUAGUUACUGCUAUGCAAGUACUACAGAUCACAAGAGCCUUAAGGCACAGGUAGCCAAUCUAGCAAUUUUAGAUGUUGCCACAACUAGCUGUUUAUCAUUAUUCUCAUAACAAGGUUGUUUCAAUAGAUUAUGUGAGUGCUUUUACAUAAACAUGACUACGGAAUCAACAGAGUUAGCAUGAGUUAUACACAACCUACAUUGGGACAGAAGUACUUCCAUAAUCUGCUGUUGCUCAAAUGCUGGGACAGUAGUCCCUACCUGAAGAGUGAUAAUUAAUAGUCAGGUGAAGGCAACAUCUUGAAUCACAAGAGCUGUCCCAGAUUUAUCUACACCUGUAUGGACUCCUAGCCAGAGUCUCUCUUGUAUUCCUCUAUGAUGAUGUCAGCUGUUGCUCUUAUUGUCCAUUUCACCCUGUUCAUUACCAGAAAAUUGGAUAAGGGAAAUAUUUAAAAUACUGGUUGUCAAGCUCUAGUCUGCAGGUUAUCAGGGUGCUGGGGGUUUUUUUUCAGUUUUCUCUAGUUAUUCAUAGAAUAAAGUACGAAGUAUGUACAGAAGACAGGAUGUUGUUGGAUGCGAAGCAGUAGAAGAAAAGAUGCAGAGCUGGGAAAGAUUUGUAGGACACUUUCCACACAACAGUCCAUAUGGUAAAAGAGCUAGAGAACCAAUUGGUUUUAAAGAGACAUUAUUGUCAAGUUGAACACUAAUUAACUGCAAAACAUUUAUUUAUUUUUAUAAUAGUGUCAGGUAUUCUGUUUGUGCCCUUCUGGACAUAUUCAUCAUUUUAGAAUCACAUUUAUCAUUAUUUAAUUCCUUCUGCCACUGAUGUAUGAAAAAUGCACAUGAACCUCAGGGAAAACCAUAUUUAAGGGAAAGCAAUUGUACAGUAAGUUCCAUCAAGGGUGCAAUGCAACCAAACCCUGAAACUCUUUCAGUUAUCAUAAUCUGAGGCAUUACUUGUAACAAUCAUCAAUUUAAUAUUUUUAGACAUUAAAUGUAAUGCCUAAAGUUGUCAGUUUCCUUUAAAUCAUCUCCACUCUGAGUGACUAAUGGCUACAAUUAACAUCACCAGCAGAACUGUUUAAAGACACAGGACACAGAUCACCAGUUACAGCUUGAAGGUGGCAUAAUUAGCAAAAGACACUGAGGUGUGCAGGGGAGAUUCUCACACUGCUUACACUCACUGCCUCCUACACAGAGUGGGCACCAAUACUGAUGUCAGGGCAAGACAGGCUUUAUUCCAAGCAAGCACUGAAUUCUGCCCCAAAUUAUUUCUGCAGCAAGAAGUUGCAGAAUGCACCCCUCCCUUCUCUUCCUUUGGACAGGUUGGUGAAUGUUAGCUUUCCAGCUCCUGCAUGCUACAUGAUACCCACAUCCCAGGGGCCACCAUGGAAACAGCAGCAGCAGAGGCAGUUCAGGCUUGGCAUGCACAACAGAUUUAAAUAUAUCGAAACCAAGUUUGUGUUGGAAAGAGAGAAAGAUUGUCUCUCUCCCUUCUGAUGGCAGAUGUAUGGUGGGGUUUCUAAGUCCUCUCUCAUAUCACAGAGCAAGUGAAAGCCUCCCUCAUCAUUACAUUAAAAUGAUUGAUCACUUCAACUCCCUGUCGCUUUCUCCACAGAACUCCCACCUUACGGGCAUGUGACUCCUUUCCAUCUCUCCCUGCAUGACUUCUUCAGUCAGGCAGGACAUGGCAUUUCACACAUUCCUUCUGGUACCAGGUCUGAGUCAGCCCAGAGGUGAGGAUCUGGUGGCAUGCACUGAUCAAUUAAACCAUGUUCACAAGCUCAGCUACUGCACCUACAAUUUCACAUGGCAACUCAAGCUUUUUCUAAAGAUUUAGGAAAUUCCACCAUGGCCAUACAAGGUAGACCAUGCGAAAAAUGGAAACUCUGCUCAUAAUGUAGGUGGAGAACACAGUACAGGCUACUGAUUCACUUCUUGGAAGCGUUCAUACAAGUUCACUCACAUCAUUUUUGCCAUUCAUAAGGCUUUCCACUGCAGGCUUCCUUCUGUUUUUUAUUUUCAUUAUUGUGUUUUGCCAUCUUCUAUUAUCUUUUCCCUUGCUUUUUUCUCCCCUUAAAUUUUUAUUAACCAAGGGACCUGAUCUGAGAUGCUUGCCUUUAGGCACUGCUGUGUGUUGCUGAUGUUGCGACAGCCUCUUUAAGGGAUCACAGCAGCAUUUCCAUAUCAAAUACAAAUCCUAAUUAACCCCCACCAUUUGACUGCUGCAAAUUGACAGAUAUGCCAAUUCUAUGGAAGUGAAUUCUCUGCUAACAGCAAAAGGAAGCUUUGUCACACCUUUAUUAGAGAGGACAUGUUGUAAGUGACUGAUUUGGAAACAACAGAGCUGGCUGACCACAGCCCUCAUAGAUCAAAUACUUCCGCCAUGUUUUAACAAAUCCAUUUGGAUUCCACAGUGAUAACAUCAACUCAUAUUUUGAACUCACUGCAGAAACUUCUCUUUUUUCUCUCUUUUUAAGCUCGUAUCAUGGGAGUCUGACAUAUCUGUUAUAAAUCAAAGCAGUUUACACACAAAACACACUGGAGAAUGUAUGACAAAGUACAGGGAGUUUGUGACUUACCUUUCAACUUCAGUACUGCCCAGCUUACCACAGGUGGUUAUUUUUAAACAACAAAACCACUGCAAAUUGUGCAAUCCAACAGGGGUCAAUGCCAUUUUGUGACAACAGACCCACAUGAAGGGAAAAAAUUAAGAUCCCAAAAGCUGAUAGGAAAAAAAUUCCCACACAACUGAAAGCUGAAAUGCAGACUGAAAGGUAUGUCCAAGUCAACGUGCUAAAUACAGACCCUUGAGACAGGAUCAUUUAAGGUUACAAGGCAAUACAGAAUGUGGGGUUCUAUCUACCCAGCUUACACUUUGAUUUGUGGUCACUUGAGCCUGCUUCUAAGCAAAAUGCCAAUGUUCUUUUUAUGGUUAAUACAUAAUAAAUAUCUUUCAAGGCCCUCAAAAGGCGAUCCUUCCUGACCAAGUUCAGAAUGCAGCCAAGAUUUCGUUUUGGGGGUCUUCAGAGUAACCUACCUUUUUUCCAUCAAUUAUACAGGGAAGAAAAGCAUUUCAUUUAAGGGAAAAAUUCCCUGUUUACUAUUUCCUUAGCAGAAGUGGUAAAAUGUACAUUCAGAUUUAACUCCACAGGAAAGCAGAUCACCCCUGGUUUGUAAAAUUCUCAUGGUAAAAUGUUUAGGUAAGUUUCUAAAGAAAGCAGGCAUCACUGAAGAACCAGACAUUCUUCUCACACAAAAUAGGGAGACAUUAUUUCAUCCUGCAGUUCAAACCAGACUGAGUGAUCAAAGUAUCAUUUUUUUUUGGCAUAAUUAUAAACACAAAGUGAAUGUCUUCCAUUGAGAUUUUAAUGUCUCUAACUGGCUGUGUUUCUGGUUUUGCUACCUGAGAAAUGGGAGACAAAAGUACUAUUCUCAGCACCACAAAUACAGGUUCAUAAGCUACUUGUAAAAUGCCUUUCUUCAGAAGGACAUGAUACAGCUAGCCAUGUGAUUAAGUGAUUUUUCAAUACAAUCCUUUGAGACAUUUGCUCUUGCCUUUCACAUUGACAUUUGUCUUCCAAAUUUGUCCUGGCACCCAAUGCCAUUGAUAGCUUAGAGGGACAUUCCCCAUAGGCAAGUAAAGAUUAUCAAAACCAAACUCAGCACAUCCCCCCAAUCCUAUUUUAAUAUUCUUAAAGAAAUCCUGAAGCCUGAUUUUGCAUUUUUCUCUGUUCCAUGCUCUUUCAAACAUGACUUUUUCAAAGAUCUUGAUGAAUACAUACACUGAUAACAACAGAAACAAUAUAAUAACACGGACAUGACCAAAGCUUAUUGCAAAGUUUUUCCAGGUAAUUCUAAAUGGUAGUUCUUAUGACACUUGGUAAACUUUUGAAUUUCCCAAACAAAACAGGUAAAUAAUAAAAGGCAUGAACAAAAUACUGUCAGGUUACAAUUUUGUCAGAUGUGCUUAUGCUUUCCUAAUUAAAUAAUACAAAGAUUAAAUAAUACAAAGAGCAUUCCAUGCAAGGUACUGAGCUAAAACAAUUCUUUAAGAGAGACAUUGAAGCAAAUCUGCUUCUCCACACAUGAAUGACCUCCUGAGGUCCCUUCUACUCCUAUUUUCUUUAAUUCCACGUUUAGUUUAUGUAUGUCUCUACAAAUAUCUUUUGUGUUUAGGCAUAGCAUGUUUAUAGAGUGCAAAACAUCUUUUUAAAUAUGCUAUACAAUAAAUUUACAUUUCUGUAAAGACAUCUUAAACUAUUUUACAACCAAUAACUAUUGGGACCCUGUGUACAUAUUGCAGCAUAGUGGGACUGAUUGCCUGCCUUUAUAGAGCCAAGAGACUAUUGACAUCUCUGAUCACAGGAGAAAGGCUUUGGACAUGAAAGUUUCCAUAAUUUUUCCAUGCAUUCUUAAACAUUUGCUUCAUGGAAGAGGCACCACAGAAGGGAUUAUUUUUAGAUCUUGCCAAAGGCCUGAAACUAUCGAUUUUACACUUUUUUUUUCUCUUCCCCUCACCCCCCGCCCAUUUUUAUUUUUUCAUUUAGUUGCUUGGACAGGUGUAUGCAGUUUUUCCACUAAGUUACUCACAUUGCAGGAUGUUCUUUUCUGUGCAUAUUGGCAUGCAUAAUUACAACAAGGUUUAUUCUACCCAAUACACAACAAAGGUAAGAAAUUAAGAAGAAUCCUUCCCAAGCAUUUGAAUUCUACUUUUAGCAUUUCAAUUCUGCUAUAAAAAUUAGACAUUGAUUCCUAUGAUAAUAAAGACUGGAAAAAAAAUUCAGUCCAGAUUUAAUCUAUUAAAAAUUGACCUAUCUGUAAAAAUUUUCUACAAGAAGCAAGGGAAAGGUGAAAAUCCUUUACAUACCCUGAUGUGUAAAAGAGAAAUGCCUUCAAAGAACACUGAGAGCAUAUAAAGGAUUAUUUUUCUUACCAAUUUUCAUAUUCUUAUCCAAUGUCACAACUGCAGUUACCACUGACAGAAUUUGCUUCAGUGAAAUAAAAGCUGCAGCCAAGAAGAUCUGUAGCCCAACUCUUUAACAGUGAGGAUCUUGUUGAAAGAGUAGGUUUUGUUCUUGGUGAAAGAUGAGGUCCCAGUUACACAAAAUUAUAAUAUAUCCUACUUUCACUUUCUGGAAAGAAUAUAUUAAUACUCCUUAACUUGAAGUUGAAAUCAGGCAUCAGAAAACAUUACAUAAAUUACAGCUAAGUGCAUAAAUAAAGGAUUCACAAACAAAACAAAUUUAUAAGCUUCAAAACAAAUGUUAAGCUUCAUACAGUCGAGCAGAUACACUUUCCUACAAAGAUGCUCUGUGGGGAUGUAAGAGGCAUUUCUAUUUUCUGACCAGACAGCUCAUGUACUCUGAAGUCAGCGUUGUACUGGUUUGCACCAAGGUUUGGCCCAUGUAUCUAAGAGCAUCCAUGAAGAUUUUGAUCACCACUGUGUCACGGUUUGCAUACAUAUGGGAUACUGACUAAAUCCUGAAGCCCUUACAAGGAGAAAAUUUCUACCAGUGUUAGAGUUUUAUCUGAUAAGGAUUUAAAAAUCAGAUUGAUGACAAUAUACUAUUCUACUAACCAUAAGUGUGGGCAUAUAUAACAUACAUUCAAAUACAGCACUUAUGCAAACCCUAGCGACAAAUCUCACAUAUCCAGCACGAUGUUACAAGGUAUGUGAAAAAUAGCACUGAAUAAAAUAGUAUAUAAGAGUUCAUCAAUCUUUCAAGUCCCUCAAACCAUAGAAGUUGUAUUAAAGCCAUUUCUACUACUGAAAACUUGUAGGACAGAGUGAAAAUAUGUUCAGGCUCCGUAUCUUUUCUCUUGCAUUUCAUAAAAUGUAUCAUGAAAUUAGAAUUAGGAGAACAGAAAGGCAAUGACUUGUUCAGUUCCUUAAUUAAAGUUCCUUUAAUACAACGGUAUGUUGGGGCAUACAGUAUUUAUCAGUGUUGCUAAUGAACUGCGAAGUAGGAAAGCUUUAUCAGUGUGCUGCCUGGGCUUAUAAAGGGUGAUGCUGUAAGAGACAGGGUUGUCUCAGCCCUGAGAAAUGCCAAAGCUGCCACCACAGAAGUUACAGCUAAGCUUUGAGACACAUGCUUCCACGAUUUCACUCUCCUCUCUCUCUUAAUUCAUCCCAACCUACAAAAUCUUACUGCAGUCAUCCUGGGCAAGGAGAGAUGACCUACAACCAGUGACUGAAAUGUCAGCAAUCACUGAUGUGAUAGAAGAAAUUCUUUAAACUCUGGUGCUUGGGAAGCAGGGUUGCUGUGAGCUGUCUCCUCCACUGUGGUCAGUGUGUUCUUAACUAAUCCCUGCAUUAUUGUAAGACACGGUCUUACAAUACCUGACUAUUCAGAUGUCUCAGUGGGCACCCUGUGUCUUCUCACUCUGAUUGCAGAAUUAAGUCCUAAUACAAAAUGGCAUUCUUGCCUCAGCAUACAACAGGCUGCACAAGUACCAGUCAGUACACAAAGAUGACAUAGCCCCUGUGUUUCAGGUUAUUUAUCCAAUCCCUAGCGAAAGCUGCUGCCCUUUUGAGGUAAAAUGUAUUUCUCUAGUAUGGCACAUGUUCAAUAUAUACAGUUACACUACAACCAAAAGUGUCCUAAACACAUAGGCUGAGAUGUUUGACUACAACUUAUUCAUAUUAAUCCUUGCUUGGAGUGGGAUGCUGUUGUUCUAUGGAAAGUUUUAC